GUGCCAGCCGCCGCGGUAAUACGGAGGAUCCAAGCGUUAUCCGGAUUUAUUGGGUUUAAAGGGUGCGUAGGCGGCUUUUUAAGUCAGGGGUGAAAGACGGUGGCUCAACCAUCGCAGUGCCUUUGAUACUGAAGAGCUGGAUUAAACUUGAGGUAGGCGGAAUGUGACAAGUAGCGGUGAAAUGCAUAGAUAUGUCACAGAACACCGAUUGCGAAGGCAGCUUACUAAGGUUUUAAUGACGCUGAGGCACGAAAGCGUGGGGAUCAAACAGGAUUAGAAACCCUAGUAGUCC
This 292-nucleotide ribosomal RNA is filed under the name uncultured bacterium. RNAcentral's name for it is "partial 16S ribosomal RNA". It matches the Rfam family "Bacterial small subunit ribosomal RNA", at positions 505 to 796 of the family's 1533-position model. The record is from RNAcentral.